AUAACUCUCUCAUCUGGAGUCAAUUUUAGGUGAAUGACUACUUGUUGGAGAGAUAAUUUGAUGAACUUGGCAAUGGAGCAGAAGUUUGGUACAUGUUCAGUUCUGGACGCAGAGGAAAUCGAUGAAGAAGAGGCAGGAGCGAAAAAUGAAGAAGAAGGAGAUGAUGAUGUGAGAGAAAAUAGCUUGGGCAAGUUUUCUAUUAAGCCUAGAUGAUCACCUAUCUAAAUAUAUGUGUUCCAUCCCUCUUCCUCUCCAACAUUUAUUUUCCAUGGUCUUUUUGACAAGUCUCAGUAAUUCCAAUAGAUC
This 306-nucleotide long non-coding RNA is filed under the name Setaria viridis. RNAcentral describes it as "long non-coding RNA (SVIR_LNC004708)". The record is from RNAcentral. Lineage: Eukaryota; Viridiplantae; Streptophyta; Magnoliopsida; Poales; Poaceae.